UGGUUAAAAAGCUCGUAGUUGGAUCUCGGCGGACUGAGGGCGGUUUGCUUGCUAGUAUUACUGCCCUAUAGUCCGUAGUUUUGCCAGAGGUUUCGGGGUGCUCUUAAUCGAGUGUCCCGGGAUGCUGGCAGGUUUACUUUGAAAAAAUUAGAGUGCUCAAAGCAGGCUAUUACGCCUGAAUAUUCGUGCAUGGAAUAAUAGAAUAGGAAGUCGUUUCUAUUUUGUUGGUUUUUGGAAAUCGACUUAAUGAUUAAUAGGGACAGUCGGGGGCAUUUGUAUUCAAACGACAGAGGUGAAAUUCUUGGACCGUUUGAAGACAAACUACUGCGAAAGCAUUUGCCAAGAAUGUUUUCAUUAAUCAAGAACGAAAGUUAAAGGUUCGAAGGCGAUUAGAUACCGCCCUAGUUUUAACCAUAAACGAUGCCAGCUAGCGAUCUGCGGACGUUUUUUUUGUAGACUCCGCAGGAAGCUUCCGGGAAACCAAAGCAUUUGGGUUCCAGGGGAAGUAUGGUUGCAAAGCUGAAACUUAAAGGAAUUGACGGAAGGGCACCACCAGGAGUGGAGCCUGUGGCUUAAUUUGACUCAACACGGGAAAUCUCACCAGGCCCGGACACUGGAAGGAUUGACAGAUUGAUAGCUC
This 640-nucleotide ribosomal RNA is filed under the name uncultured marine eukaryote. RNAcentral describes it as "SSU rRNA". It matches the Rfam family "Eukaryotic small subunit ribosomal RNA", at positions 616 to 1257 of the family's 1831-position model. The record is from RNAcentral.